RNAcentral lists this unclassified non-coding RNA (253 nucleotides) under uncultured Chlamydiales bacterium. RNAcentral's name for it is "contains 16S-23S intergenic spacer region". It matches the Rfam family "Bacterial small subunit ribosomal RNA", at positions 524 to 776 of the family's 1533-position model. The record is from RNAcentral. Lineage: Bacteria; Pseudomonadati; Chlamydiota; Chlamydiia; Chlamydiales.
UACGUGGGGUGCAAGCAUUAAUCGGAGUUAUUGGGCGUAAAGGGUGCGUAGGCGGAUCAGUAAGUGGGAUGUGAAAUCCCGGGGCUCAACCCCGGAACUGCAUUCCAUACUGCUGGUCUUGAGGGUAGACGGGGAGAAUAGAAUUCCACAUGUAGCGGUGAAAUGCGUAGAUAUGUGGAAGAAUACCGGUGGCGUAGGCGAUUCUCUAGUUUAUACCUGACGCUGAGGCACGAAAGCUGGGGGAGCAAACAGG